CGGGGCGUAGCGCAGCCUGGUAGCGCGUCUGCUUUGGGAGCAGGAUGUCGGAGGUUCGAAUCCUCUCGCCCCGACCA
This 77-nucleotide transfer RNA is filed under the name Alphaproteobacteria bacterium. RNAcentral describes it as "tRNA-Pro". It matches the Rfam family "tRNA". Rfam says of the family: Transfer RNA (tRNA) molecules are approximately 80 nucleotides in length. Their secondary structure includes four short double-helical elements and three loops (D, anti-codon, and T loops). Further hydrogen bonds mediate the characteristic L-shaped molecular structure. tRNAs have two regions of fundamental functional importance: the anti-codon, which is responsible for specific mRNA codon recognition, and the 3' end, to which the tRNAs corresponding amino acid is attached (by aminoacyl-tRNA synthetases). tRNAs cope with the degeneracy of the genetic code in two manners: having more than one tRNA (with a specific anti-codon) for a particular amino acid; and 'wobble' base-pairing, i.e. permitting non-standard base-pairing at the 3rd anti-codon position. RNAcentral also lists the same sequence under 1 other name. Lineage: Bacteria; Pseudomonadati; Pseudomonadota; Alphaproteobacteria. The record is from RNAcentral.